RNAcentral lists this ribosomal RNA (409 nucleotides) under uncultured Pseudomonas sp. RNAcentral describes it as "bacterial SSU rRNA". It matches the Rfam family "Bacterial small subunit ribosomal RNA", at positions 976 to 1382 of the family's 1533-position model. Lineage: Bacteria; Pseudomonadati; Pseudomonadota; Gammaproteobacteria; Pseudomonadales; Pseudomonadaceae. The record is from RNAcentral.
AGGCCUUGACAUGCAGAGAACUUUCCAGAGAUGGAUUGGUGCCUUUCGGGAACGUCUGACACAGGUGCUGCAUGGCUGUCGUCAGUUCGUGUCGUGAGAUGUUGGGUUAAGUCCGUAACGAGCGCAACCCUUGUCCUUAGUUACCAGCACGUUAUGGUGGGCACUCUAAGGAGGACUGCCGGUGACAAACCGGAGGAAGGUGGGGAUGACGUCAAGUCAUCAUGGCCCUUACGGCCUGGGCUACACACGUGCUACAAUGGUCGGUACAAAGGGUUGCCAAGCCGCGAGGUGGAGCUAAUCCCAUAAAACCGAUCGUAGUCCGGAUCGCAGUCUGCAACUCGACUGCGUGAAGUCGGAAUCGCUAGUAAUCGUGAAUCAGAAUGUCACGGUGAAUACGUUCCCGGGCCUU